AUACAUUUUCGUUGGCUUUGGGAAGGCGCUUCCUCGUAUUAUUUAUAUUUCAGUUUAUUAUGCAAUAUAUUUCCAACUUAUACGACCACAUGAGGAUCAUGCGCAUGCGACAAGUUUGCUCCACAUUUUGACUCUGCGCCGCCGUGCUUCACCCUCGCCCCUCGCCUCGUCACGAAGGAGUCAUCGCCAUUAGCAUCAUCGGAAUGUCGUUGGAACCGUUGCAAGACGUUUGAACGGUCUCCGCGCUCGCUCGUCCAUUUGUGAACAAAGGAGGCCGUGAUUUUGCGUCGUAUGGGCGGCUGCAGUGUUGCGUCCCGUCAGGCCAUGAAAGAAGGAAGGAGGAUAUGAUUUUGCGUCGUAAUGGGUUUUUGUUGUUUGUUCGGAGCAGCGGCUGCAGUGUUGCGUCCCGUCAGGCUCUACUUUGUUGAACACUAAGCUGGACACAUAUCUCUCCAGCGCUUCAGAGACGUCGCUGGCGCCGAAAUUCUAGCUGUUUCACCGUGGGUCGCCAG
Ornithodoros turicata is the source of this 512-nucleotide long non-coding RNA. RefSeq lists it as uncharacterized. Lineage: Eukaryota; Metazoa; Arthropoda; Arachnida; Ixodida; Argasidae. The transcript is spliced from 6 exons. The record is from RefSeq and is a predicted model, not a curated record.